RNAcentral lists this ribosomal RNA (254 nucleotides) under uncultured bacterium. RNAcentral describes it as "partial 16S ribosomal RNA". It matches the Rfam family "Bacterial small subunit ribosomal RNA", at positions 524 to 776 of the family's 1533-position model. The record is from RNAcentral.
UACGUAGGGGCCUAGCGUUGUCCGGAUUUAUUGGGCGUAAAGAGCUCGUAGGCGGUUUGGUAAGUCGGGUGUGAAAUCUCCACGCUCAACGUGGAGGGGCCACCCGAUACUGCCAUGACUGGAGUCCGGUAGGGGAGUGUGGAAUUCCCGGUGUAGCGGUGAAAUGCGUAGAUAUCAGGAGGAAUACCUAUGGCGAAAGCAGGUCUCUGGGCCACAACUGACGCUGAGCUGCGAAAGCUAGGGGAGCAAACAGG